Long non-coding RNA from Homo sapiens (human), 474 nucleotides. The record is from Ensembl. Lineage: Eukaryota; Metazoa; Chordata; Mammalia; Primates; Hominidae.
CAAUGAGAUAUCCUACACACCUGUUAGCACAGCUAGCAUGAACAGUGACACCAAAUACCGGUGUGGACAUGGGGAAAGUGGAUCACUCAUACAGUGCUGGUGGAAUUGUGAAGUGAUACAGACACUCUGGAAAACCGAUCGUUUCUUUAAAAAUUAAACAUGAGACUACUACCCAGAAAUCACAUUCCUGGGCAUUUAUUCCAGAGAAAUGAAGGCUUACAUUGAUUCAAAAACCUGUACACAAAUGUUUAUAGAGGAUUUAUUUGUUAUAACCUCAACCUGGAAACAAACCAGAAGUCCUUCAACAGCAAAAUCAACCUUUCCCUUGCCGUGAGUAAAAGACCAACUUGCAUCUGCUUGGUAUGCAGUAAAAAAUGGAGCAGAUUGCACAGUGACUGGAGAAAUGAAUGAGAAGUCCAGCUAUGAAAAAAAGUCAGAGACAAAAAUGAAGAUAAUAAAAUAUAUUUUGGAUGA